GACGAACGCUGGCGGCGCGCCUAACACAUGCAAGUCGAACGGAACUGUUUUGGAGCUUGCUUCGAGACAGUUUAGUGGCGGACGGGUGAGUAACGCGUGAGCAACCUACCUCUCAGAGGGGGAUAACGUCUGGAAACGGACGCUAAUACCGCAUAACAUUCUGAGGUCGCAUGGCUUUAGAAUCAAAGGAGCAAUCCGCUGAGAGAUGGGCUCGCGUCCGAUUAGCCAGUUGGUGAGGUAACGGCCCACCAAAGCAACGAUCGGUAGCCGGACUGAGAGGUUGAACGGCCACAUUGGGACUGAGACACGGCCCAGACUCCUACGGGAGGCAGCAGUGGGGGAUAUUGCACAAUGGAGGAAACUCUGAUGCAGCGACGCCGCGUGAGGGAAGAAGGUCUUCGGAUCGUAAACCUUUGUCCUUGGUGACGAUAAUGACGGUAGCCAAGGAGGAAGCUCCGGCUAACUAC
This 467-nucleotide ribosomal RNA is filed under the name uncultured Bacillota bacterium. Its description in RNAcentral is "bacterial SSU rRNA". It matches the Rfam family "Bacterial small subunit ribosomal RNA", at positions 28 to 504 of the family's 1533-position model. Lineage: Bacteria; Bacillati; Bacillota. The record is from RNAcentral.